GACGAACCGUGCGAACGUUGUUCGGAAUCACUGGGCUUAAAGGGCGCGUAGGCGGGCUAUCAAGUCCGGGGUGAAAUCCUCCAGCUCAACUGGAGAACGGCCUCGGAUACUGAUGGUCUCGAGGAGGAUAGGGGCACACGGAACUGUGGGUGGAGCGGUGAAAUGCGUUGAUAUCGUCUGGAACGCCGAAGGUGAAAACAGCUCGCUGGGGGUUGUGCUGACGCUGAGACACGAAAGCCAGGGGGAGCGAACGGG
RNAcentral lists this ribosomal RNA (255 nucleotides) under uncultured bacterium. Its description in RNAcentral is "partial 16S ribosomal RNA". It matches the Rfam family "Bacterial small subunit ribosomal RNA", at positions 524 to 776 of the family's 1533-position model. The record is from RNAcentral.